UUAAUUCUCAACGGCUAUGCACGAUACGACGUCGUUGCCCAAACUGCAAUAUAUCAGCGCGUUCCUUUUCCUCAAUGCACAACACAAACAGCACCUCUUCACACUCUCGGAAGGCUUCGUCACUGACCGAGUAAUCGACUCCAAAAACUGUGAUGGAUGAUCAGGACCUGGGCUUCUUUGCCAAUUUUCUCGGCAUCUUCAUAUUUCUACUGGUAAUAGCGUAUCAUUUUGUGAUGGCCGACCCAAAAUAUGAAGGCAACUAAUGAUCUGUUUCUUUUUUAUGUAUUUGCAAUGGAUAUGCAAUUUUCUCGCAACUAAUGGGGUUACGCUAUUAAUUUUGUAGCGUGAACUAUUUCAGAAUGCAUACAACUUGAUUUAGUGAAAAGUUUUGGUAUACAAUAUGACUGUGCUGUUAUACACAUGAUUUUCUUUCUCUAGUUUAUCAGUGCUUCAUAUUUAGUUUUCCACGCCUUUGCAGUGUUAAGGGUGUGGACUGUGUUCGGACUGUGUUUU
Molecule: non-coding RNA, 513 nt
Organism: Malus domestica (apple)
Lineage: Eukaryota; Viridiplantae; Streptophyta; Magnoliopsida; Rosales; Rosaceae
Source: RefSeq, a predicted model, not a curated record